GACCAACGCUGGCGGCGUGCUUAACACAUGCAAGUCGAACGCUGAAGACCUGGCUUUUGUUGGGUUGGAUGAGUGGCGAACGGGUGAGUAACACGUGAGUAACCUGCCCUCUUCUUUGGGAUAACGCCCGGAAACGGGUGCUAAUACUGGAUAUUCACUGAUCUUCGCAUGGGGGUUGGUGGAAAGGUUUGUUCUGGUGGGGGAUGGGCUCGCGGCCUAUCAGCUUGUUGGUGGGGUGAUGGCCUACCAAGGCUUUGACGGGUAGCCGGCCUGAGAGGGUGACCGGUCACAUUGGGACUGAGAUACGGCCCAGACUCCUACGGGAGGCAGCAGUGGGGAAUAUUGCACAAUGGGCGAAAGCCUGAUGCAGCGACGCCGCGUGAGGGAUGGAGGCCUUCGGGUUGUAAACCUCUUUCGCUCAUGGUCAAGCCGCAACUGUGGGUUGUGGUGAGGGUAGUGGGUAAAGAAGCGCCGGCUAACUACGUG
This 486-nucleotide ribosomal RNA is filed under the name uncultured bacterium. Its description in RNAcentral is "partial 16S ribosomal RNA". It matches the Rfam family "Bacterial small subunit ribosomal RNA", at positions 28 to 507 of the family's 1533-position model. The record is from RNAcentral.